This 296-nucleotide ribosomal RNA is filed under the name uncultured bacterium. RNAcentral's name for it is "partial 16S ribosomal RNA". It matches the Rfam family "Bacterial small subunit ribosomal RNA", at positions 775 to 1067 of the family's 1533-position model. The record is from RNAcentral.
GGAUUAGAUACCCUGGUAGUCCACGCCGUAAACGAUGAGAGCUAGUUGUCGGGCAGCAUGCUGUUCGGUGACGCAGCUAACGCAUUAAGCUCUCCGCCUGGGGAGUACGGCCGCAAGGUUAAAACUCAAAGAAAUUGACGGGGGCCCGCACAAGCGGUGGAGCAUGUGGUUUAAUUCGAAGCAACGCGAAGAACCUUACCUGCGCUUGACAUCCCAAUCGCGGUUACCAGAGAUGGUUUCCUUCAGUUCGGCUGGAUUGGUGACAGGUGCUGCAUGGCUGUCGUCAGCUCGUGCUG